RNAcentral lists this ribosomal RNA (468 nucleotides) under uncultured bacterium. RNAcentral's name for it is "partial 16S ribosomal RNA". It matches the Rfam family "Bacterial small subunit ribosomal RNA", at positions 28 to 507 of the family's 1533-position model. The record is from RNAcentral.
GACGAACGCUGGCGGCGUGCUUAAUACAUGCAAGUCGAACGGAAAGGCCCUGCUUUUGUGGGGUGCUCGAGUGGCGAACGGGUGAGUAACACGUGAGUAACCUGCCCUUGACUUUGGGAUAACUUCAGGAAACUGGGGCUAAUACCGGAUAGGAGCUCCUGCUGCAUGGUGGGGGUUGGAAAGUUUCGGCGGUUGGGGAUGGACUCGCGGCUUAUCAGCUUGUUGGUGGGGUAGUGGCUUACCAAGGCUUUGACGGGUAGCCGGCCUGAGAGGGUGACCGGCCACAUUGGGACUGAGAUACGGCCCAGACUCCUACGGGAGGCAGCAGUGGGGAAUAUUGCACAAUGGGCGGAAGCCUGAUGCAGCAACGCCGCGUGCGGGAUGUCGGCCUUCGGGUUGUAACCCGCUUUCGCCUGUGACGAAGCGUGAGUGACGGUAAUGGGUAAAGAAGCACCGGCUAACUACGUG